CAGAGGGGGCAAGCGUUGUUCGGAAUUACUGGGCGUAAAGGGCGCGUAGGCGGCCUUCUAAGUCGAACGUGAAAUCCCCGGGCUCAACCCGGGAACUGCGUUCGAGACUGAUUGGCUUGAAUCCGGGAGAGGGAUGCGGAAUUCCAGGUGUAGCGGUGAAAUGCGUAGAUAUCUGGAGGAACACCGGUGGCGAAGGCGGCAUCCUGGACCGGCAUUGACGCUGAGGCGCGAAAGCCAGGGGAGCAAACGGGAUUAGAUACCCCGGUAGUCCUGGCCCUAAACGAUGAGUGCUUGGUGUGGCGGGUAUCGAUCCCUGCCGUGCCGAAGCUAACGCAUUAAGCACUCCGCCUGGGGAGUACGGUCGCAAGGCUG
RNAcentral lists this ribosomal RNA (372 nucleotides) under uncultured organism. RNAcentral describes it as "bacterial SSU rRNA". It matches the Rfam family "Bacterial small subunit ribosomal RNA", at positions 526 to 896 of the family's 1533-position model. The record is from RNAcentral.